GACGAACGCUGGCGGCGUGCUUAACACAUGCAAGUCGAGCGGAAAGGCCCUUCGGGGUCCUCGAGCGGCGAACGGGUGAGUAACACGUGAGUAACCUGCCCCAGACUUUGGGAUAACCCUCGGAAACGGGGGCUAAUACCGGAUACGACACAGCUUCGCAUGGGGUCUGUGUGGAAAGUUUUUCGGUUUGGGAUGGGCUCGCGGCCUAUCAGCUUGUUGGUGGGGUGAUGGCCUACCAAGGCGACGACGGGUAGCCGGCCUGAGAGGGCGACCGGCCACACUGGGACUGAGACACGGCCCAGACUCCUACGGGAGGCAGCAGUGGGGAAUAUUGCACAAUGGGCGGAAGCCUGAUGCAGCGACGCCGCGUGAGGGAUGACGGCCUUCGGGUUGUAAACCUCUUUCAGCAGAGACGAAGCGUAAGUGACGGUACCUGCAGAAGAAGCGCCGGCCAACUACGUG
Molecule: ribosomal RNA, 462 nt
Filed under: uncultured bacterium
Lineage: Bacteria
Description: partial 16S ribosomal RNA
Rfam family: Bacterial small subunit ribosomal RNA
Source: RNAcentral